Molecule: transfer RNA, 76 nt
Filed under: Caudoviricetes sp.
Lineage: Duplodnaviria; Heunggongvirae; Uroviricota; Caudoviricetes
Description: tRNA-Thr
Rfam family: tRNA
About the family: Transfer RNA (tRNA) molecules are approximately 80 nucleotides in length. Their secondary structure includes four short double-helical elements and three loops (D, anti-codon, and T loops). Further hydrogen bonds mediate the characteristic L-shaped molecular structure. tRNAs have two regions of fundamental functional importance: the anti-codon, which is responsible for specific mRNA codon recognition, and the 3' end, to which the tRNAs corresponding amino acid is attached (by aminoacyl-tRNA synthetases). tRNAs cope with the degeneracy of the genetic code in two manners: having more than one tRNA (with a specific anti-codon) for a particular amino acid; and 'wobble' base-pairing, i.e. permitting non-standard base-pairing at the 3rd anti-codon position.
Source: RNAcentral
GCUGGAUUAGCUCAGACGGUAGAGCGAUUGAUUUGUAAUCAAUAGGUCGGGGGUUCGAUUCCGUCAUCCAGCUCCA